This 826-nucleotide ribosomal RNA is filed under the name bacterium. Its description in RNAcentral is "bacterial SSU rRNA". It matches the Rfam family "Bacterial small subunit ribosomal RNA", at positions 26 to 861 of the family's 1533-position model. The record is from RNAcentral.
AGGAUGAACGCCUGCGGCGUGCUUAACACAUGCAAGUCGAACGGUGAAAGCGGAGCUUGCUCUGCUGGAUCAGUGGCGAACGGGUGAGUAACACGUGAGCAAUCUGCCCCUGACUCUGGGAUAAGCGCUGGAAACGGCGUCUAAUACCGGAUACGAGCUGCGAAGGCAUCUUCAGCAGCUGGAAAGAACUUCGGUCAGGGAUGAGCUCGCGGCCUAUCAGCUUGUUGGUGAGGUAACGGCUCACCAAGGCGUCGACGGGUAGCCGGCCUGAGAGGGUGACCGGCCACACUGGGACUGAGACACGGCCCAGACUCCUACGGGAGGCAGCAGUGGGGAAUAUUGCACAAUGGGCGCAAGCCUGAUGCAGCAACGCCGCGUGAGGGACGACGGCCUUCGGGUUGUAAACCUCUUUUAGCAGGGAAGAAGCGAAAGUGACGGUACCUGCAGAAAAAGCACCGGCUAACUACGUGCCAGCAGCCGCGGUAAUACGUAGGGUGCAAGCGUUAUCCGGAAUUAUUGGGCGUAAAGAGCUCGUAGGCGGUUUGUCGCGUCUGCUGUGAAAACUGGAGGCUCAACCUCCAGCCUGCAGUGGGUACGGGCAGACUAGAGUGCGGUAGGGGAGAUUGGAAUUCCUGGUGUAGCGGUGGAAUGCGCAGAUAUCAGGAGGAACACCGAUGGCGAAGGCAGAUCUCUGGGCCGUAACUGACGCUGAGGAGCGAAAGGGUGGGGAGCAAACAGGCUUAGAUACCCUGGUAGUCCACCCCGUAAACGUUGGGAACUAGUUGUGGGGUCCAUUCCACGGAUUCCGUGACGCAGCUAACGCAUU